AGAGUUUGAUCCUGGCUCAGGAUGAACGCUGGCGGCGUGCCUAAUACAUGCAAGUCGAGCGAACGGACGAGAAGCUUGCUUCUCUGAUGUUAGCGGCGGACGGGUGAGUAACACGUGGAUAACCUACCUAUAAGACUGGGAUAACUUCGGGAAACCGGAGCUAAUACCGGAUAAUAUUUUGAACCGCAUGGUUCAAAAGUGAAAGACGGUCUUGCUGUCACUUAUAGAUGGAUCCGCGCUGCAUUAGCUAGUUGGUAAGGUAACGGCUUACCAAGGCAACGAUGCAUAGCCGACCUGAGAGGGUGAUCGGCCACACUGGAACUGAGACACGGUCCAGACUCCUACGGGAGGCAGCAGUAGGGAAUCUUCCGCAAUGGGCGAAAGCCUGACGGAGCAACGCCGCGUGAGUGAUGAAGGUCUUCGGAUCGUAAAACUCUGUUAUUAGGGAAGAACAUAUGUGUAAGUAACUGUGCACAUCUUGACGGUACCUAAUCAGAAAGCCACGGCUAACUACGUGCCAGCAGCCGCGGUAAUACGUAGGUGGCAAGCGUUAUCCGGAAUUAUUGGGCGUAAAGCGCGCGUAGGCGGUUUUUUAAGUCUGAUGUGAAAGCCCACGGCUCAACCGUGGAGGGUCAUUGGAAACUGGAAAACUUGAGUGCAGAAGAGGAAAGUGGAAUUCCAUGUGUAGCGGUGAAAUGCGCAGAGAUAUGGAGGAACACCAGUGGCGAAGGCGACUUUCUGGUCUGUAACUGACGCUGAUGUGCGAAAGCGUGGGGAUCAAACAGGAUUAGAUACCCUGGUAGUCCACGCCGUAAACGAUGAGUGCUAAGUGUUAGGGGGUUUCCGCCCCUUAGUGCUGCAGCUAACGCAUUAAGCACUCCGCCUGGGGAGUACGACCGCAAGGUUGAAACUCAAAGGAAUUGACGGGGACCCGCACAAGCGGUGGAGCAUGUGGUUUAAUUCGAAGCAACGCGAAGAACCUUACCAAAUCUUGAUAUCCUUUGACAACUCUAGAGAUAGAGCCUUCCCCUUCGGGGGACAAAGUGACAGGUGGUGCAUGGUUGUCGUCAGCUCGUGUCGUGAGAUGUUGGGUUAAGUCCCGCAACGAGCGCAACCCUUAAGCAUAGUUGCCAUCAUUAAGUUGGGCACUCUAAGUUGACUGCCGGUGACAAACCGGAGGAAGGUGGGGAUGACGUCAAAUCAUCAUGCCCCUUAUGAUUUGGGCUACACACGUGCUACAAUGGACAAUACAAAGGGCAGCGAAACCGCGAGGUCAAGCAAAUCCCAUAAAGUUGUUCUCAGUUCGGAUUGUAGUCUGCAACUCGACUACAUGAAGCUGGAAUCGCUAGUAAUCGUAGAUCAGCAUGCUACGGUGAAUACGUUCCCGGGUCUUGUACACACCGCCCGUCACACCACGAGAGUUUGUAACACCCGAAGCCGGUGGAGUAACCUUUUAGGAGCUAGCCGUCGAAGGUGGGACAAAUGAUUGGGGUGAAGUCGUAACAAGGUAGCCGUAUCGGAAGGUGCGGCUGGAUCACCU
Molecule: ribosomal RNA, 1540 nt
Filed under: Staphylococcus aureus VET0319R
Lineage: Bacteria; Bacillati; Bacillota; Bacilli; Caryophanales; Staphylococcaceae
Description: 16S ribosomal RNA
Rfam family: Bacterial small subunit ribosomal RNA
Source: RNAcentral